Molecule: long non-coding RNA, 242 nt
Organism: Cotesia glomerata
Lineage: Eukaryota; Metazoa; Arthropoda; Insecta; Hymenoptera; Braconidae
Exons: 3
Source: RefSeq, a predicted model, not a curated record
UUCCUAUUAGGUUAAUCUUGUCAAAUUAAAUUCUGAAGUAGUCUUUAAUAGUUUCUUAACAAAUCUUUUAAUAAGAUUUUACAAAAAUAAUCAAAUAAAUACCAAUUCAACCACCGGUCAGACACUGGUACAAUAAAACACCGUUGUACCAUCAAUAAAUGACUUCGGUCAUCUAUUGGAACCUGCUAUUUUUCAAAAUACCAGUAGUUGACCGCAUGCACAGUUAAUAUCAAUUACUCAGA